AGUGAACGCUGGCGGUAGGCCUAACACAUGCAAGUCGAACGGCAGCACAGUAAGGGCUUGCUCUUACGGGUGGCGAGUGGCGGACGGGUGAGGAAUACAUCGGAAUCUACUUUUUCGUGGGGGAUAACGUAGGGAAACUUACGCUAAUACCGCAUACGACCUACGGGUGAAAGCAGGGGAUCUUCGGACCUUGCGCGAUUGAAUGAGCCGAUGUCGGAUUAGCUAGUUGGCGGGGUAAAGGCCCACCAAGGCGACGAUCCGUAGCUGGUCUGAGAGGAUGAUCAGCCACACUGGAACUGAGACACGGUCCAGACUCCUACAGGAGGCAGCAGUGGGGAAUAUUGGACAAUGGGCGCAAGCCUGAUCCAGCCAUACCGCGUGGGUGAAGAAGGCCUUCGGGUUGUAAAGCCCUUUUGUUGGGAAAGAAAAGCAGCAGGUUAAUACCCCGCUGUUCUGACGGUACCCAAAGAAUAAGCACCGGCUAACUUCGUG
RNAcentral lists this ribosomal RNA (492 nucleotides) under uncultured bacterium. RNAcentral's name for it is "partial 16S ribosomal RNA". It matches the Rfam family "Bacterial small subunit ribosomal RNA", at positions 29 to 507 of the family's 1533-position model. The record is from RNAcentral.